ACUAAAGUAUGCGAAAGAGAUGUUUGGACAAGUCAAGUUAACAUUCCAACAAGAUUGGAAGGGUUAAAAGUCAGUUUAAAAGAGUUAAAAAGGUUUUAGUAUUUAUCGGAGUGAAAUAGAAUCGAAAAGAUGCGAAAAUCUGAAAUUUGGAGUUGUGUUACCAGAUUAACAUCAAAAGUGUACCGGUACAUAGUGUAAAACCGAAAGAAGUAGCUCUCGGGUUGAGUAGAAAAAGGCUGUGUACCGGUGACAGGAUUUCAUGUAUCGAUACAGUG
This 275-nucleotide long non-coding RNA is filed under the name Ananas comosus (pineapple). Its description in RNAcentral is "long non-coding RNA (ACOM_LNC008957)". Lineage: Eukaryota; Viridiplantae; Streptophyta; Magnoliopsida; Poales; Bromeliaceae. The record is from RNAcentral.